RNAcentral lists this small nuclear RNA (107 nucleotides) under Phocoena sinus (vaquita). The record is from RNAcentral. Lineage: Eukaryota; Metazoa; Chordata; Mammalia; Artiodactyla; Phocoenidae.
GUACUCACUUCAGCAGCACAUAUACUAAAAUUGGACCAACACAUAGAAGAUUAGCAUGGCCCCUGCGCAAGAAUGACAUGCAAAUUCAUGAAAGUGUUCCGUAUUUU